GCGGAUAUGAUGAAAUUGGCAGACAUGCCAGAUUUAGGCUCUGGUGGGGUGACCCGUGGGGGUUCAAGUCCCUCUAUCCGCA
RNAcentral lists this transfer RNA (82 nucleotides) under Ancoracysta twista. RNAcentral describes it as "tRNA-Leu". It matches the Rfam family "tRNA". From Rfam's summary of the family: Transfer RNA (tRNA) molecules are approximately 80 nucleotides in length. Their secondary structure includes four short double-helical elements and three loops (D, anti-codon, and T loops). Further hydrogen bonds mediate the characteristic L-shaped molecular structure. tRNAs have two regions of fundamental functional importance: the anti-codon, which is responsible for specific mRNA codon recognition, and the 3' end, to which the tRNAs corresponding amino acid is attached (by aminoacyl-tRNA synthetases). tRNAs cope with the degeneracy of the genetic code in two manners: having more than one tRNA (with a specific anti-codon) for a particular amino acid; and 'wobble' base-pairing, i.e. permitting non-standard base-pairing at the 3rd anti-codon position. Lineage: Eukaryota; Nebulidia; Nebulidea; Nebulidida; Ancoracystidae. The record is from RNAcentral.